UUAUACUACACAGAUACAAAAAGAAUUUUAGCUGAGGAUAAGCUCUAAAAGAUGAACGAAUAUAUUAGCUUAGCAUGAAUCUGAUCUUACCUUGUCUUGCAAAAAAGUGAUACAGAACCCACUGGAAUUUGUUGUUGUCUCAAUGCUGAAGAAGACAGGGCUCAAAAUGAUUCUAGUUAUUCCUGGUUGAAAGCACCCAGAAUAUGGCAUUGAUUUAUAAGGAAUCCAUACAACUUCAGGAGUAUAUUCAGGCAUCCAACUGUGUAAUUAGUGCUGAACCAUCCUGUAUGGUUUUUCAUAGACAUGGAAGGCACUCUGUACUUGAGCGAAGGCUGAAACAAGAAAAG
Molecule: long non-coding RNA, 347 nt
Organism: Lagopus leucura (white-tailed ptarmigan)
Lineage: Eukaryota; Metazoa; Chordata; Aves; Galliformes; Phasianidae
Exons: 3
Source: RefSeq, a predicted model, not a curated record